Long non-coding RNA from Ornithodoros turicata, 868 nucleotides. RefSeq lists it as uncharacterized. Lineage: Eukaryota; Metazoa; Arthropoda; Arachnida; Ixodida; Argasidae. The record is from RefSeq and is a predicted model, not a curated record. The transcript has 2 exons.
UAUUUUCCGCGCGGAAGUUCAAAAACGACUCGGUGGUUACCUGUGCCGUUCCCAUUGCUGAUCUCCUGCAAAGGACAGUUGGGACGUCAGCUGUGAACACCGAUGGCUGCAACCGGGAAGGACGAAGCUGGUCCAGGGACAUCGGCGGCGAAUUGUCCGGCUGCGUCAUUCCGCUGCACGACCUGCGGUAUGCUUUUCUCCAGCGAAGCCUACCGAAACCGACACGUCAGAUACAAGCACCACCACCCCGGAGGUCCUCACAUGUGUUCUGACUGCGGAUACAGCACAACGAGAUUAUCGGCGUUACGCGUUCACCGAAGAAGCCAUACGGGCGAACGCCCGUUUGCAUGCACCGUUUGCGACAUGGCCUUUGCGGACAAGCGUCGUUUGGCAGGACACAUCGCGUGUGUGCAUGAAAAGUCCAGGCUCCACCGGUGUGACACGUGUGGAAGAUCAUUUCACUAUCGGCACAAUUUAAGGGGACACCAAAGAAUUCACACUGGGGAGAAGCCCUUUGUAUGCGCGGUGUGCCAGGAGAGGUUUACCUGGUUGAUAUCACUCCGCCAGCAUGCCUGCACGCACGGGGCAGAGGAAUCUCCUGAAAUGGGGCAGGGAAAGAAUGAAAACGUGAAUGAGAGGGUGAAGAGAAAGGAACAGACUUCGUCGUAGCCUUCACGCAACGGAGACGUCAUGGAUGAUCACUGAAGAGAAGAGUACUGCUGAACGAGGUCUAUUGCUCUUCCUCGCGGGUUAUCUCAACGACGAGAAGGCGUGAAACAAAAAAAUUCAUUUAUUAAUCCAUAAGUGGCACUUCGACUUCCAAAAAUAAAUGUGUCCGCAUAGAUCGUAGUCGGCAUAUAUGUUUUCA